This 386-nucleotide ribosomal RNA is filed under the name uncultured microorganism. RNAcentral's name for it is "bacterial SSU rRNA". It matches the Rfam family "Bacterial small subunit ribosomal RNA", at positions 9 to 389 of the family's 1533-position model. The record is from RNAcentral.
GAGUUUGAUCUUGGCUCAGAUUGAACGCUGGCGGCAGGCCUAACACAUGCAAGUCGAGCGGAUGAAGGGAGCUUGCUCCUGGAUUCAGCGGCGGACGGGUGAGUAAUGCCUAGGAAUCUGCCUGGUAGUGGGGAUAACGUCCGGAACGGGCGCUAAUACCGCAUACGUCCUGAGGGAGGAAAGUGGGGGAGUCUUCGGACCUCACGCUAUCAGACGAGCCUAGGUCGGAUUAGCUAGUUGGUGGGGUAAAGGCCUACCAAGGCGACGAUCCGUAACUGGUCUGAGAGGAUGAUCAGUCACACUGGAACUGAGACACGGUCCAGACUCCUACGGGAGGGCAGCAGUGGGGAAGUAAUUGGACGAAUGGGCGGAAAGGACCUCGAUCC